RNAcentral lists this ribosomal RNA (229 nucleotides) under uncultured bacterium. RNAcentral's name for it is "partial 16S ribosomal RNA". It matches the Rfam family "Bacterial small subunit ribosomal RNA", at positions 568 to 796 of the family's 1533-position model. The record is from RNAcentral.
AGUGUAGGCGGCUUCGUAAGUCGGAUGUGAAAGCCCUGGGCUUAACCUGGGAAUGGCAUUCGAUACUGCGCGGCUAGAGUCUGAUAGAGGGAAGUGGAAUUCCAGGUGUAGCGGUGAAAUGCGUAGAGAUCUGGAGGAACACCAGUGGCGAAGGCGGCUUCCUGGAUCAAGACUGACGCUGAGGCUCGAAAGCGUGGGGAGCAAACAGGAUUAGAUACCCUGGUAGUCC